UACAGAGGUGGCAAGCGUUGUUCGGAAUUACUGGGCGUAAAGGGCGCGUAGGCGGCCUUCUAAGUCAGACGUGAAAUCCCCCGGCUUAACCUGGGAAUUGCGAUGGAGACUGCAAGGCUAGAAUCUGGCAGAGGGGGGUAGAAUUCCACGUGUAGCAGUGAAAUGCGUAGAGAUGUGGAGGAACACCGAUGGCGAAGGCAGCCCCCUGGGUCAAGAUU
Molecule: ribosomal RNA, 218 nt
Filed under: uncultured prokaryote
Description: partial 16S ribosomal RNA
Rfam family: Bacterial small subunit ribosomal RNA
Source: RNAcentral